UGGCCUUUUCUCUCCGCCGCACUAGUUCUCCAGCGCGCCGCCCCUCACCGCCGGCUUCUGCCCCUCCUCCACCCCUGCCGCCGCCCCGCAGUUGGAGACGCUCGCCUCGCCGGAAAUCAUGUACCGCGCCGCGGGGAGCCACCUGCGCUCCCUGAAGCAUCUCGGUGCUACCAGGCUUGCUAGUACAAGUGUUGUGAAGCAGCCCCAAGGUGGUCUUUUCAGCUGGCUUCUUGGGGGAAAUUCAAGCCAACUUCCUCCCCUAGAUGUUCCGCUACCAGGCAUUACUAUUCCCCCACCUCUACCAGACUUUGUAGAACCAUCUAAGACAAAAAUCACUACUCUUCCAAAUGGCAUCAAGAUUGCCUCGGAAAUGUCACCGAGCCCAGCAGUCUCAGUGGGUCUGUAUAUUGACUGUGGUUCCAUUUAUGAAACACCCGUUUCAUCUGGAGUCUCCCAUCUAUUGGAGAGAAUGGCCUUCAAGAGCACAGUAAAUCGUAGUCACUUGCGGCUAGUUCGUGAGGUAGAAGCCAUUGGAGGAAAUGUCUCCGCAUCAGCUUCCCGUGAGCAAAUGAGCUAUACCUACGAUGCAUUAAAGAACUAUACACCAGAAAUGGUUGAAGUUCUCAUUGACAGUGUGAGGAAUCCAGCAUUUCUUGAAUGGGAGGUCAAGGAGCAGCUCCAGAAGAUCAAAUCUGAAAUAGCUGAAGUGUCUGUUAAUCCUCAAGGUCUACUUCUGGAGGCGCUUCAUUCAGCUGGAUAUUCUGGGGCACUUGCAAAACCUUUGAUGGCUUCAGAAUCUGCUGUAAACCGGUUGGAUGUUAGCAUCUUGGAGGAAUUUGUAGCUGAACACUAUACUGCUCCCAGGAUGGUUCUUGCAGCAUCAGGAGUUGAGCAUGAUACUUUGGUUUCAGUUGUAGAACCACUUCUAUCUGACCUUCCCAGUGUGAAACGUCCUGAAGAGCCAAAAUCGGUGUACGUUGGAGGCGACUAUCGUUGCCAAGCAGAUUCUCCAAGCACACAUAUUGCACUUGCUUUUGAGGUGCCUGGUGGCUGGAAUCAAGAGAAAACUGCAAUGGUUGUGACAGUGCUUCAGAUGCUCAUGGGAGGAGGAGGGUCCUUCUCUGCUGGUGGGCCUGGAAAGGGAAUGCAUUCUCGAUUAUAUCUCCGUGUCUUGAGCAAUUACCAGCAGAUCGAAUCAUUCUCUGCUUUCAACAGUGUCUAUAACAAUUCAGGUCUUUUUGGAAUUUAUGCAGUCACUAGCCCAGACUUCUCGUCAAAGGCUGUGGAUUUGGCAGCAGGUGAACUCCUUGAGAUUGCAACUCCUGGAAAAGUUUCACAAGAACAGCUUGAUCGUGCUAAAGAGGCAACCAAAUCCGCCAUUCUGAUGAACUUGGAAUCAAGGUCCAUAGCAUCUGAAGAUAUUGGAAGACAGGUUCUGACUUAUGGGGAAAGGAAACCCAUUGAAUAUUUCCUGAAAACAGUUGAGGAGAUCACCUUGAAUGACAUUUCGUCAACUGCAAAGAAGAUCAUGUCUUCACCGCUUACAAUGGCAUCAUGGGGCGAUGUUAUUCAUGUUCCUAGCUAUGAGUCUGUCAGCCGCAAGUUUCACUCAAAGUGAGAGCACUCAGCAUUGGGCUUGCGUGACCUGUUCCAACAAUUGAAGAUCAAUGGCUAGCUAGCAUGGGGUUUGAAUGAACCCAUUGGAGUGCAGGUUGAUUUCUUGUGGAAUCCAAGUUUGUACGGCUGCCCAUUCAAAACCAGGGAUGAUGGAGAGCAGGAGGAUCUUCGAACUCACGUAGAUGGACUGGGCGCCAGCAGGUGGCAGCAUUGUAACCCGAGCCCGAGCUGUGGAUGCCGGUAUAGAAGCUGGAGGCAUUCGUGCAGCCAUGGAGCUUGCAUCGGGCUGCUGUGGAUGUUUGCAAAUCCUGAUUUACGAGAUGUAACAUGCAGCAAGUGAGGCAGUGGGCCUGCGCCGAGCCUCCAGGCACGGGCUGUUAAGUUUUGUUUUCUGAGUUGCUGUUUGCUAGGGACCGCAACAAAGAAAAUUCUGACGAGGCCUAGUCGUAGACAGAUGGGCCGAGCUGAGAAGCCUGCAUCAUCGUUGUCAGGCCCACAACAAACAAGUCCCGCCAGCUUCCGGUACAAGGUUGCGGGCCCGCAAAAGCGUACCUUAUUGCUUAUAUCAAAAUAAUAACGAAAAAAUAAAGUGAUUUUUUAACUUA
Panicum virgatum (switchgrass) is the source of this 2222-nucleotide RNA transcript. It is a transcript of the gene named mitochondrial-processing peptidase subunit alpha-like, with no coding region annotated. Lineage: Eukaryota; Viridiplantae; Streptophyta; Magnoliopsida; Poales; Poaceae. The transcript has 15 exons. The record is from RefSeq and is a predicted model, not a curated record.